GGGGAAUUUUCCGCAAUGGGCGAAAGCCUGACGGAGCAAUACCGCGUGAGGGAGGAAGGCUCUUGGGUUGUAAACCUCUUUUCUCAGGGAAGAAAAAAAUGACGGUACCUGAGGAAUAAGCAUCGGCUAACUCCGUGCCAGCAGCCGCGGUAAUACGGAGGAUGCAAGCGUUAUCCGGAAUGAUUGGGCGUAAAGGGUCCGCAGGUGGCAUUGUAAGUCUGCUGUUAAAGAGUUUGGCUCAACCARAUAAAAGCAGUGGAAACUACAAAGCUAGAGUAUGGUCGGGGCAGAGGGAAUUCCUGGUGUAGCGGUGAAAUGCGUAGAUAUCAGGAAGAAC
This 337-nucleotide ribosomal RNA is filed under the name uncultured cyanobacterium. RNAcentral describes it as "bacterial SSU rRNA". It matches the Rfam family "Bacterial small subunit ribosomal RNA", at positions 356 to 707 of the family's 1533-position model. The record is from RNAcentral. Lineage: Bacteria; Bacillati; Cyanobacteriota.